GAUCCGAAAAAGAAAGCAUAUGCAAGUGUAUUCCAGUACCUGUUGUGCUUUAGUGACGUAGUAAGAACUUUCCAUUUUCCACAGGGCUUAGACCAGACCAGUUAUAACUUAAAAGCUCUGAAACGCACCAAAACUUUGUAUCACAAAAUACCUGUCAUGGACUUUUGCAGCCAAAUGGUUUACCCGUCUUCCAAGGAGGGGCUGAAAUGUAAGGAGUGUUAAAAAGUAGGCAUUAAACUGAAGAUAUCCGCUAAUCUGCAUCAGUCUUCAAAAUGACAGGAAGAGAUGUCUCAGUUUGUUGAAGAAUGUCCAACCUGGAAUGCUCUGAAUAGGAAAGACUGGCUGAAAGAAUGGUUUAAUCUUCAUCUUUCCUGGGGCUAAAGAUGAUGAGCUCAUCAAAUUUCCAGAACAAGUGUGGAGAAUAGCCAAGAGGAAGAAAGGGUACAGAGCAGAGAACAAACUUCAGCUACCAAAGGAAAUAUGGAUCUCCCAUGACCAGUUCAUCAGUGACAGUCCAGAUCAUACACUGUGCACAACUGCAGGAGCACAAACAGAACCAGCUGUGGAGAGUGCUGGAGAGUAGAGCUCUGGACCCCAUUCCUCCUUGGAGGUUGGGUAAAAAUGGGUAAGCAGCAUGAUUGUGUCUGUUUUGGCCUUGACAGGCUGGUGUAAUUACUGCUGGGAGCUGUUAACCAGUUUAAGUUCCACUUUAAAGUGAAUCAUCUUCUGUAACCAAGUGGAAUAAAGACAUGGACACACAGCUCCUGCAGACACCUCCUCUAAGCCAUAACCAUUUGUCGUCCUCCACUCUUGUAUCCUCAGUGUACAAGGACAGACACUGAGUUUCAGAAAAUUGUGUUGGAUGAGGAGGGCAGGGGGCUACCACAUAAAUAUUCGCCAUUCAUGAGCCUGUCUUUUUCUUCAGCCUGUCAUGAGACACGGUAGACAUGAGAUCCUCCUCUGAAGUGCCAGGUAUCAUCUGAUCCUUAAAAUACUGGCCACGGUAACUUUCUAGUGAUUUGUUGUGUGUUUGUUUUCUGUUAGCCAUUUCUUAUCUACCAUUCCACUGUUCAUCAAAUAAAAGCAACAUGAAGUA
This is a non-coding RNA of Cyanistes caeruleus (blue tit), 1096 nucleotides long. The record is from RefSeq and is a predicted model, not a curated record. Lineage: Eukaryota; Metazoa; Chordata; Aves; Passeriformes; Paridae.